RNAcentral lists this ribosomal RNA (359 nucleotides) under uncultured bacterium. RNAcentral describes it as "partial 16S ribosomal RNA". It matches the Rfam family "Bacterial small subunit ribosomal RNA", at positions 508 to 864 of the family's 1533-position model. The record is from RNAcentral.
UCAGCAGCCGCGGUAAUACGGAGGGGGCSAGCGUUAMUCGGAAUUACUGGGCGUAAAGCGCGCGUAGGUGGUUUGAUAAGCWAGCUGUNAAAGCCCCGGGCUCAACCUGGGAACUGCAGUUACAACUGUCUNUCUAGAGUAUAGUAGAGGGUGGCGGAAUUUCCUGUGUAGCGGUGAAAUGCGUAGAUAUAGGAAGGAACAUCAGUGGCGAAGGCGGCCWCCUGGACUAAUACUGACACUGAGGUGCGAAAGCGUGGGGAGCAAACAGGAUUARAUMCCCUGGUAGUCCACSCCGUAAACGAUGUCUACUAGCCGUUGGGAGACUUGAUCCUCCUYAGUGGCGCAGUUAACGCGAUAAG